This 736-nucleotide long non-coding RNA is filed under the name Sorghum bicolor (sorghum). RNAcentral describes it as "long non-coding RNA (SBIC_LNC006722)". Lineage: Eukaryota; Viridiplantae; Streptophyta; Magnoliopsida; Poales; Poaceae. The record is from RNAcentral.
ACUCAAGAUUUCACUUACACGUUCACUCAUAUAUGCUACUUCUACUCCGGAAGUACCAUCCACAUAUAUCCAUCCAUUUCCAUCUCCAGAAUCACCAAAAAAAAUAUUCUACUCCUAAUCCGCGAGAGAAUAACCAAAAAUAUUUCUGUUUUUCCCUUAUGAAAUAAAUGCUCAAGUUAUCUUGUUACUACCACUUGCUAUAUUAUCUCAAGAGAUGAGUGCUUUAACAAAAAGAAAUAAAAUACGAGGAAAUAAAAAGGAGCAAGUGCUCGGAACCUCGAAAGAAAAGAAAAAGUGAGACGAGAGGUAAAAAUGGACAAGUGUCCGACAGUAGAAUUAGGGGUACAAGAUACCCACCUGAGAGAAAAGAAAAAAAGAUAGAGCAUCUCAUUCUCCUCAUAAAGUUUCAAAAAGAAAGGAAGGUAUGUAUCCCCUCAAAGAGCAAAAGUGGAAAUAGACUUCCACCAUUGUUAUCACCAUCACCACCAUACACCAUUCAUUCGCCACACAUGCACAUCUUGAUUUGGCUUAUUGGCUUGUUUCUUUGGAUCCAUGGUUUGACUAUGCAAUACAUGUCUUGUAAGUAUGUAUACUUUAUCUCCCACCUAUGAGCUCCAGAUAUUAAAGCCUUAUUAGAGUAAGGUGAGAGAGAAGGCAAUGUCACUAUGCUUUAUACCACAAAUACCACAUAUCUUGAGAGAAGGCAUAUACCAUCGCUGCCUUGGUAAGGAUCCAG